Molecule: long non-coding RNA, 425 nt
Organism: Lolium rigidum
Lineage: Eukaryota; Viridiplantae; Streptophyta; Magnoliopsida; Poales; Poaceae
Exons: 3
Source: RefSeq, a predicted model, not a curated record
UGCUGGUGUGUGCUUGCCAUUGCCAGCACGGCCCUCCUCAGAAGCUGCAGCUGGGCCUGGACGUCGACGACCACGCACAAGGAGACGGCGACCUGGACAUGAUCGGCCGACCACGACGACGCCCACAGAAUAAGGUAUAAUUUCUUCCGACAUUUCCGGUUGGAGGGAUGUCAUGUGCCAAGCAAAAGUCAUGGAUGGAGAAGACUGCUUGUUGUAUUGUGCCACCCUGCCACACGAGAGAGCUGGCUUACCAGGUUGCUCUAUUCUAUGGAGGUGUUCACAUUAAUAAACACCAAGGAUUUAUUUGUUGCCGUCACUGUGGUGGGGCACACCUGGAAGGAUUGUAGCUCUAGCUAGAAAGAAGGACAUUUCUUUGAAGAAUGUGAGGCAUUCCAUCCUUGAUGAGUGUGAUAAGAUCAUAGGUC